UGGAUGGGUGGAUGGAUGGGUGGAUUCGUGGAUGGGUGGGUGGAUGAGUGAUGGAUGGGUGGCUGGGUGGGUGAUAGAUAGGUGGAAAGACUGUGGAUGGACUCCUGGGCAUUCCAGCGGGCCCGUUGAUGGCAUGAGGCACCCUGGCUUCUCGGAGGAGGGUUAUGCGGAAGAGCACAUGGGAUGAUGGGUGAAUCUGUGGACAGCUGGACACCUGGGCCUCUCAUCGAGCUGCCAGGUGGGUAGGCCAUCGGGUUGGAAGAGGAAAGGCUGGGCAGGAGGAGGGUGGAGUCAGGCAACCGAGGGGGACUCAGGGCCCUGGGGAGAGGGUCCUGCCAGAAGCCAGCACCCCCAUGCGUCCUGGGGCCUGGGAGGAGCUGAGGUGGCCCUGCCCUUACCCCCCACAUCUGGGCCUCUGGGGGCCCCUCUGAGUCCCUUGGACUUGGUCGGAGACUGGUGGGGUUGGGGGAGCUCAGAGUGGGUCUCUGCAUGGCACCCCAACCCCUACUCACCCCGAGUCUUGCCUCGGCCCUGCAUGGAGAAGGCGGGGGUGCAGCUCCGGCCAAAGCGGGUGACCUUCGGGUCCAGGAAAUAGAUGGGCCCUGGGCUGGUAUCCUGGCGUGUUGCUGCAGAGGGGCAGGAGUCUGAGGUCUCCCCGGGGGUGAUGGUGGCCUGACAGGCUGGGGCCCUGCUGUCCCCUCCCCCCAACACUCUGUCUCCACACACCUCCCACCCUGAGUCCCCAGUGGGGACCAGCUCCCUGCACAUUGGGGUUCAUCCCAGCACUCAGGAGGCUGAGGCAGGAGGAUCGCCACAAGUUCAAGACCAGCCUGGGCUACAUAGUGAGACCCUGUCUCCAAAAAAAAAAAAAAAAAAAAAAAUGGAACUUCUGGUGCAGGACCCAGUGCUUGGCCUGUCCCCUGUACUGUCACAUGUCACAGCCUAUCCUGCUUCCGCAUUCCCACCCCAUCUCUGCGACAAGUGGAUCCACCUAUGCUGCAGCCUCUACCUACAGAUCAUUGGUACUCCUGAGGCUUCCACCAAACUCCUACUUAUCCCCAAAAGCCCAGAUCUCAGGCCUCAGCUCUCACUGUCUACCCUGGGCCUUGGGCAAAUAGUCUUCACUCUAUUCAAAAGAACCAGGCAUGGGGCUGGGGGUUUAGCUCAGCGACAAGCACGAGGUUGUGCGUUUGGCCCGGCGAGGAAAUUGGCUCUGCACUCACACCGACAGCACACUUUUACUGGCCACUCACUGGACACCGGGCACUAUGGUCACUGCUGCCCCCCCCCAUGGUGGCUAGGCAAGGUCCUGCCACCGAGCCAGGGCCUCAGCCCUGAAUCAACAUUUUUUCUUUUUGUUUUAUGAGACAGAGUCUCCUCUGUGUGGCCCAGGCUGGCCUUGAACUUGUGUCGAUUCUCCUGCCUCAGCCUCCCGAGUGCUGGGAUCACAGACCUGGCCACCACCACGCCGGACUGAUACGAACGUUUAAUAGAGGCAGGAGGACAGAACAGACACCCAGCUUGCAAAACCCAGAGGCAAAGAGACCCAGGUCUCAAACACGGCCCUCCCCUUCUCUCUAUCACGGAGGAAACUGGACCAGAGAGAACCGGCCGCCUGCGCCGGGUCACACAGCAAGCGCAGUUUCACUAUGUAGCCCAGGCUGGCGUCAAACUCACAGUGACCCUCCUGCUUCAGCCUCCCGAGUGCCGGAAUGACAGGGUGCACUACCACGCCCAGCUGCAUUUCAUGGCUUCAAACAGGCGGAAACUUUGGACGGACCCAGAGACACAGAGAAGGAAGGUGGGGGAAGGCAGAGGCAGUUACACCAAGCCCCCACCAGAACUGAAUGAGGCAAGGCAGGGUUUGGUUGGGGGGAGCCCAGCCCUGUGCCACCUGGAUUUUGGACUUCCGGUCUCCAGGCAGUGAAGGGAGAAGAUAUUCCCAGUGUUGCAGACACUUGGUCAUCAUGGUUAGCUGUGGCAUUCAAGAAAUGAAUAAAGGGCUUCCUCGCUGGGGCUGUAAA
This is a long non-coding RNA of Cavia porcellus (domestic guinea pig), 2024 nucleotides long. RefSeq lists it as uncharacterized. The record is from RefSeq and is a predicted model, not a curated record. NCBI's taxonomy places the organism in Eukaryota, Metazoa, Chordata, Mammalia, Rodentia, Caviidae. The transcript is spliced from 2 exons.